AGUUCGGUUAAGUCCGGCAACGAGCGCAACCCACAUCUUUAGUUGCCAGCAUUCAGUUGGGCACUCUAUAGAAACUGCCCGUGAAUAAGCCGGGAGGAAGGUGUGGAUGACGUCAAGUCCUCAUGGCCCUUACGGGUUGGGCUACACACGUGCUACAAUGGCAUCUACAAUGGGUUAAUCUCCAAAAGAUGUCUCAGUUCGGAUUGGGGUCUGCAACUCGACCCCAUGAAGUCGGAAUCGCUAGUAAUCGCGUAACAGCAUGACGCGGUGAAUACGUUCCCGGGCCUU
This 288-nucleotide ribosomal RNA is filed under the name uncultured Alphaproteobacteria bacterium. RNAcentral's name for it is "partial 16S ribosomal RNA". It matches the Rfam family "Bacterial small subunit ribosomal RNA", at positions 1073 to 1382 of the family's 1533-position model. Lineage: Bacteria; Pseudomonadati; Pseudomonadota; Alphaproteobacteria. The record is from RNAcentral.